Long non-coding RNA from Rattus norvegicus (Norway rat), 5572 nucleotides. RefSeq lists it as uncharacterized. The record is from RefSeq and is a predicted model, not a curated record. Lineage: Eukaryota; Metazoa; Chordata; Mammalia; Rodentia; Muridae.
GAAGAGUGGAUGAGUGAAUAGGUACAGGGAUGGGUGGGUUAAUGGAUGGUGGUUGUAUCAAUGGUAGAUAGAAGAAUGGCUAGUCGUAUGGAUAGAUGAAUGGGUGGGUAGAUGGUAAAUGAAUGGGUGGAUAGGUAGAUGGGUGAAUGGGUAAAUAUAGUGAUGAGUCAGAAAAUGGACAAUGUGUGGGUGGAUGGGUGGGUAAUGGAGGCCUGCAUAGAUCAAUGGGCAAAUGGCUGCUCAGAUAGAUUGGUAGGUGAUGGCUGACAGAUGGAUGGGUGGAAGGAUAGAUGGACCUGAGGGUGGGUAGAUGGAUGAUGGGAUGGUAGGGAGUAGAAUUAGCCCUUAGGCCAAUGCUGGCAAGGAUGAGGGCUGUGUGAGAUGAUUCUGGAAGGGAAGCCAGGGACCCCAAGGACAGAGUUUUGUUGUGCAUAGCUAGUGAACUCCGCCAGAGGAGCCAAGCUAUAGCAUGGGCUUGGAUUUUGGUUUAGCCUUGUCAGCCUCGUGACCAGGCCUCCUCUCUCCCUCCCUGCUCCAGCCUGUCAAGAACAUGAGUGCUUGCAGGAUGAGAUAAGUUUCUAUGGAGAUUGGAUAGAGGCUCUUAGAAUUCACUUUUCCCUCAGUCCUAGAACCCAGAACCACAUGAUGUCCUCCCCACACUCCACAAAUGUCAGGUUACAAAGUAAGUUAGGAUGGAGGUUGCUGGGUGUCCCAUGAGCUCCACAGGUGAGUGAUACGGACCAGCAGCUGCAGGCAUGGAAGAGCUUCACUCAGCCCCUGUCCUGAGGAGGAAGGAUUAAGGGGGCUGCCAGCGGCUGCUCAGAGAGCCCCUGGCAGGCUCCAGACUGAGUCACAGUGAGUCACAGCUGUCACUUCCUACCACACAUUCCUUCAUUCAUAGUGUCCAUCCGCUGUGGCCACAUCCCUUGGCCAGUUGUAAGCAUGGGGGGUACUCGACCUGACAGAGUGAGAUGGUACGCCAUCCCAGGACGGGAGCCUUCUCCUGCCUGGCAGAUCUGUGACUACUGCUGAGCCACACUUGCCUGAUGCACGUGGAAGGUCCCUUCCUCCAGGAGGCCUCGGUUGAGACUUGGGAAAGCUCAUUGGGGCAAAAAGGAAAAUGACUCACCUUUCCCCCCAGCCCCCACCCCUAGCUCUGUCCUCAGAAUGUCCCUGGCUUUGUUAUGGCGGAACAGCCCAUCUUAACAGAGGGCAUUCCGGCUCACUCCCUGUCCGGGCAACCUUAGUAUUCAGUAUGGCUACAUCUCACAUGUAGGCCUCCAUGCCCCUGGAGGCAGCUACUCCAUGGGCUGCACGACACUUCUGAUCCUUUAUCCCUCCCAGCAGUGCCCGUGGAUGACCCUCAUCUCACUAACAAAGCUUCCCUUAGGAAUGGUGGCAGAUGCGACCGGAAGACAGUUCUAGUGAGGUCAGCAGCUAGCCAAGCCUGAGCAUAGGUGAUGUCGAGACUCCACCUCCUCGUCCCGCUCUCCCCUCGCUCACCCCGCCUUGCUUCUCCUCUUGUUCUCUGGCCCCAGCUACCACAGCCUCUAUGCUGAUGUUCACACUGUGGGGGCUGUUUCCUACCCACAGUUUUGCAUGUGUUGCAGUCAGAAUCACAGUUUCCUCCGUGGCUCUCUCAGGUGCACUCCUCAGGGGUAGCCUGCUGGUACUCUUCCUGCCCUGAGAUGUCCCAGAGAAGCCUGGGUGACGUGCUGAUGUCAAUCUUGUGGAUUGCUGUGUUUUGUCAGCCACUCUGCUGCGGCUGUGGGGAUGCUGCUCUCUGCUCAGGAUGUCAACAGACACAUGCUGAACCAAAGGUAGAACGUCCCCCAGGGCUUAAAGUAUCACCUACAUCGUACGUACGUAUACGGUUUCCCUAGGGGCGAGACCUGGCUUUUCGUGAAGCCAAGAUUCAGGCAGUGACCAAGGUCCCUGCCGAGGGACUGGAAACAGGAGAUGGAGAACAGUAUAGACUCAGACAUCCCAUGUAGGCCAAUAUCUGUGGGCUCAGGGUGGGGCUUCGGGGAGCUGCAGGGUACCAAGGUAUGCGGGGAGGAUCUCACAGGCCUUUGCUCCACCCUGAAGACCCCUGUGAAGCUGGUGGGAGCAGGAAGUGAUGCUGUCAGUGUCCUCUUUGAAAGAAAUCCUUUGUGGGAAGACAAUUGGGGACGGAGCAGAACUCGGAGGUACAACAUGGACCUGAGGUCCAAGGCAGACUCCAGUCAUUGAGCUUGGUCACCAGGUCCUCUUAGGUCCUCAGGCCUGCAUCUGGGACAACUCUGGGAGGAGGUGCUCAACAGGUGUCGUGUUGGGAACAAUAUGAGCUGCUUGGGGGGUCUACAGGAGCCAGACAGGACCCUGGCAGAGGCUCUUAAUGCAAAGCCGAUCUUGGCUGCAGAAGACAAUCUGGGGGUUCCACUGUGCAUACAAUUACUACACAAGCAAGAUAGGGGCCCUCUAGAAGGAACAUCUAGGGCAGCAAGAGUUGGUGGCUGGUCCACCUAUAGCACCUGUUGUCUGCUGGUGCCUUCGGAAGUAAGAGAUCAGUGCUUAGGAGUCCUUUCUUCGAUGUGUCUGAUUUCACAGUGGGUGACUGAGGCCAGCUGGCCAUGGCUUUUUACUAGAAGAGAAUGUAUCGAUUUUGGAUUCCUUCCCAUGAGUCAAGAGGAAGCAAGCUGACAGGAUUUGGACUGUAGAGAACAUUCCUUACCACCUUACCAACUCUAGCCUGCUUUGGAUCCUCUUGGAAAACCACAGGGAGCCUGGGAGGAGCCUGGGGCUAGACAAGGACAGCAGGGACCCACGGCCUCAUCCCAGCUAUGCUGGAAGCUCUGUGUGUUAUUGUGUGUGUUUGGGGCCAGGGGAGGACAGCAGGUGUCUCCCAGAUCUGGUCGGUCAUUCGUCCCCAACUGCCUGCUCAGUCACCCUGCAGUUCUUAAGUGAAUUCCCUAACUCCAUGUACCCAACAAUACCAGUAAAUCCAGGACCAUCUCUGGCUCGAAAAUCUUGGUAUGAUGGAGUCCUAGUCACAACUAUGCUGGUAUCUGUUGAUCCCAUGCCUUGGGUUACAAUGGCUGCAUACUAACUCACCAACUGCAAACCCCUGGGGUGGAGGCAGAAGCUCAGAGAGGUUUAGUGACUCAUUUGAGGGCACACAUCCAGGAAGGCACAGGCAGAGCCCAUGCAUGGGUAGAGACUGGAGCUCCAAGCUGGCCGAGGGUCCUACCUGAUAAGGAAGAAGAAGGGUCCCCGUCUGCCACUGAUGACGCCAAGGGAAGCAGAGACACAAAUGAUGAAGGAAGAUGAGAAGACAGAAAGUAGUGUAGAAAAAGACGGCCAAGGAAGAGUUGCAGAGAGAAGCCAGGGGCUGUGUUAGAGCACCUGGAUCCAGCUGUGCCUGAAGACGACAUGAUCCAUCCACCCUGAAGCUGAGUCACACAAGCCACAUGACAGCCUCUGUGAUUUGGUGUUUUCCAACCACUGAACUGCCAUGACACUAUCAUCAAACUCAACCAGGAUGCAUGUGGAGACCAGUCUUUGAAUCCUGAGUCUGUUUCCCUGACCUAUGAUCUUCCUCACACAAAUAAGAACACCUCCUCAUGCUAACUGCCUGAGGUGGGAGACCGGCUAGCAAUCAGCCAAGUCCUCCAACUUUACCCCUGGCACACGCUGCCAUUUUUUCAUGUGUAUGCAUGUCUACAUGUGCCUGAUGUUGGGAAUCAUCCUCCAUCGUUCUUCCACCUUGUUCCCUGAAGCAGGGUCUCUCAAUCAAUCCCAGAGCUCACUGAUAUGAGCAAUCUCACCAGCCAGCUUGCUUUGGGGAUUCCCCUGCUUCUGCCUUUUGAGGCUGGAACUACAGGUGGACUGUAACUUGUGCCUGGUAUUUAAACGGACUCUUCUUUGAACAGCAGCAAAAAGCUGGGAAAACUUUAGAUACUCAGUUAUUAAUAUCCAAGCUCCCAUCCUCACACUGGUGGGACACGAGCUUUCAUCAUGGUGGUAUGUCCUCAGCCCUGUUCUUGUUUGCUAAUUUUAAAAAUGUUUUAGGUCUUCACGCUCCAGAUAAAUCUGAGAAUUAGCUCUUCAGUUUUUCCUGGGGUUCGGUUGUAUCUACAAACUUGAAAAUAAUAGACAUCUCAAUAACGAGUCUUCAUUACAUCUGGAACUCAUCUCUGGGAUGUUUCCUAGUUUUCAGGAUGGAUUCUUGACUGUCUUUUCUUAAGAUUAGUCCUGUGGUUUGUGUGUGUGUGUGUGUGUGUGUGUGUGUGUGUGUGUGUGUGUGUGUGUUUCGUGUUGUUUUCUAAAUGCAAUACCUGAUAUUAAAGCUAUUUCAAUUCUUUUUGCCACUGCUCAAAUAAGAUUCUGUUUGCUUCUGGGCUCUCCACUAUUCUGGGCCCCCGCCCCCUCCCUGCUUGUCUUAUUGCAAUGGCCAGGAUCUCCAGUUUAGUGCUGACUGGAAGUGGUUAAAGCACAUAGGCACUUCCCCUUUUGCUUGGUCUCAAGGAGAAAAGUUUGACUGUGUCAGGUCUACAUUCUCCUGAGUGAAGUGUGAUGCAGCUAGGCAGAAGGAGCUGUGGGCCUCACACUUUGCCGUGGAACAAGACCCUUGGGUGAACCUUGACAGGUGUGCACCAAGGAACAUGGCUGUAUCACUCAGGUUUCCUCAGAUACAGAUAAGACUGCACUCUGAGCUGUGGGGCUAUGGAGGCUGAGGAGUUCCCUCACCUGAUGAUUCCAGACCAGGAUGCCAAGAGGGGCAGGGUAUCCAAAGGCCAUGACAAAACAGAGAUAGAAGAGAUGGCGACCUGCUUUGUCAGAACCAGACGUGUAAAUACCAAGCACUUUGAUGACAACCUCUCAGAUGCUGUACAAGUUGCAUCUGAGCUGCUGCCUGGACAGCUCAAGCAACCGUGAAUGGUCAACUCUCACACCAGAAACUCAGAGGAGGACACACGUGUGCUCCUAGGCCUCUCCUACGUGCAAUGGGCACUGUGACCACGUGAUCACCUAUUUAAAUACAGUUGUCUUGCCUGUUCCUGGGUCAUCUCAGCAGAGCCACAUGAGGUGUUGUUACUGCCUGGCAUCCAUCUUCCAACCAGAAUGUCUACAAAAUAUUAGGACUGUGAAGACAGCUUAUUUUUGGUUGGUACCACAUCCUGUGAGCACGUCCCACCCUGCAGUCACAUCAACUGCCGAGAGACGGCUGGGUUGUCUCCCUUGCAGGGCACCAGGCCAGGCCAGUUAGGAGCCACACAGGAUUGAGAGUUGACAAAUAUCUCUCUCCAAGUCACAGGGCUUGACUCAAAUCCUAGCUGUGCCAGCAGGCAAAUGACUCAACUUCUUGGAGCCACGAUUUCCUCUUCCAUGAAGUAGGCACAGAAGGCAGAAGUUAUUCAGAGGCAUGAGGCAUGGACAUCACAGAGCACCCAGCUGUGAGCAUCCGUGCCAGCGGCAGAACUGUCACAGUGGGUAGGGGGCAGCUCUGAGGGUGGGUGCUGGGGUUAAUGCUGGACUGGGUUUACAGAGAUGUUAGAAGAUACCCUAACAACUUUUUAAUUAUUUAAUCUUA